CCGGGGUACCAUGUGUGGGAGCCACCCUAAGAGAAACUGGCCCAGAAGAGAGGUGCUAACUAGGUGAGGACAUAUGACUCUCAGUACUGUUUCCUGCUUCUAAAGGGAGGGAGAUGCUGGCAUGGAGCCAGGAAACAGAAAAGGCAUGAAAGGAAGAGCUAAUUUGGAGCUGGCGGGGCUCUAUCAUUUCCUCAGAUUUCUACUUUGUCAUCCACAAUUGGUUUCAAUGGCAGUAGCUUGCACACCAAGCUAGGUCCUUGCUUUAGGAAGAAGAAGAAACUAGAAUCACAGCCUUUAAGGAAACACUCCAGCUUUCUGGCCUAGCUAUGAGCCUUUUGUGAUCAUCUGAGUAAGACAUAUUGAUUGGAUCUCUAUUGCUACAGCUCCAGCAACAGGACACACAAACAUGACGGAUGGAAGCCAAAAAAAUGUAUAAAGGAGAAGAAAAAGA
This is a long non-coding RNA of Perognathus longimembris pacificus (Pacific pocket mouse), 451 nucleotides long. RefSeq lists it as uncharacterized. NCBI's taxonomy places the organism in Eukaryota, Metazoa, Chordata, Mammalia, Rodentia, Heteromyidae. The record is from RefSeq and is a predicted model, not a curated record. The transcript is spliced from 3 exons.